GCAUAGCAAUAUGUCAGCGGCAGACGGGUGAGUAACGCGUGGGAACGUACCUUUUGGUUCGGAACAACACAGGGAAACUUGUGCUAAUACCGGAUAAGCCCUUACGGGGAAAGAUUUAUCGCCGAAAGAUCGGCCCGCGUCUGAUUAGCUAGUUGGUGAGGUAAUGGCUCACCAAGGCGACGAUCAGUAGCUGGUCUGAGAGGAUGAUCAGCCACAUUGGGACUGAGACACGGCCCAAACUCCUACGGGAGGCAGCAGUGGGGAAUAUUGGACAAUGGGCGCAAGCCUGAUCCAGCCAUGCCGCGUGAGUGAUGAAGGCCCUAGGGUUGUAAAGCUCUUUUGUGCGGGAAGAUAAUGACGGUACCGCAAGAAUAAGCCCCGGCUAACUUCGUGCCAGCAGCCGCGGUAAUACGAAGGGGGCUAGCGUUGCUCGGAAUCACUGGGCGUAAAGGGUGCGUAGGCGGGUCUUUAAGUCAGGGGUGAAAUCCUGGAGCUCAACUCCAGAACUGCCUUUGAUACUGAAGAUCUUGAGUUCGGGAGAGGUGAGUGGAACUGCGAGUGUAGAGGUGAAAUUCGUAGAUAUUCGCAAGAACACCAGUGGCGAAGGCGGCUCACUGGCCCGAUACUGACGCUGAGC
RNAcentral lists this ribosomal RNA (637 nucleotides) under Bradyrhizobium sp. RNAcentral describes it as "bacterial SSU rRNA". It matches the Rfam family "Bacterial small subunit ribosomal RNA", at positions 72 to 752 of the family's 1533-position model. The record is from RNAcentral. Lineage: Bacteria; Pseudomonadati; Pseudomonadota; Alphaproteobacteria; Hyphomicrobiales; Nitrobacteraceae.